GACGAACGCUGGCGGCGUGCUUAACACAUGCAAGUCGAACGGAAAGGCCUGCUUUCCCUUGUGGAUUGCGGGUACUCGAGUGGCGAACGGGUGAGUAACACGUGAGUGAUCUGCCCCCAACUUGGGUAUAAGCCUGGGAAACUGGGUCUAAUUCCCGAUAGGACUGCAGGGUGGUGCCUGUGGUGGAAAACGAUUUUCUAGUGGUUGGGGAUGAGCUCGCGGCCUAUCAGCUUGUUGGUGGGGUAAUGGCCUACCAAGGCGGCGACGGGUAGCCGGCCUGAGAGGGUGGACGGCCACAUUGGGACUGGGAUACGGCCCAGACUCCUACGGGAGGCAGCAGUGGGGAAUAUUGCACAAUGGGCGGAAGCCUGAUGCAGCGACGCCGCGUGGGGGAUGACGGCCUUCGGGUUGUAAACUCCUUGCGACCGCGAGGAAGCCACCUGGUUGGAAGGGUGGUGACGGUAGUGGUAGAAGAAGCACCGGCUAACUACGUG
This 494-nucleotide ribosomal RNA is filed under the name uncultured bacterium. RNAcentral's name for it is "partial 16S ribosomal RNA". It matches the Rfam family "Bacterial small subunit ribosomal RNA", at positions 28 to 507 of the family's 1533-position model. The record is from RNAcentral.